RNAcentral lists this ribosomal RNA (494 nucleotides) under uncultured bacterium. RNAcentral's name for it is "partial 16S ribosomal RNA". It matches the Rfam family "Bacterial small subunit ribosomal RNA", at positions 28 to 507 of the family's 1533-position model. The record is from RNAcentral.
GACGAACGCUGGCGGCGUGCUUAACACAUGCAAGUCGAACGGAAAGGCCUGCUUUCCCUUGUGGAUUGCGGGUACUCGAGUGGCGAACGGGUGAGUAACACGUGAGUGAUCUGCCCCCAACUUGGGUAUAAGCCUGGGAAACUGGGUCUAAUUCCCGAUAGGACUGCAGGGUGGUGCCUGUGGUGGAAAACGAUUUUCUCGUGGUUGGGGAUGAGCUCGCGGCCUAUCAGCUUGUUGGUGGGGUAAUGGCCUACCAAGGCUGCGACGGGUAGCCGGCCUGAGAGGGUGGACGGCCACAUUGGGACUGAGAUACGGCCCAGACUCCUACGGGAGGCAGCAGUGGGGAAUAUUGCACAAUGGGCGGAAGCCUGAUGCAGCGACGCCGCGUGGGGGAUGACGGCCUUCGGGUUGUAAACUCCUUUCGACCGCGAGGAAGCCACCUGGUUGGAAGGGUGGUGACGGUAGUGGUAGAAGAAGCACCGGCUAACUACGUG